UACGGGGGGAGCAAGCGUUGUUCGGAUUUACUGGGCGUAAAGGGCGCGUAGGCGGUCGUGACAAGUCACUUGUGAAAUCUCCGGGCUUAACUCGGAACGGUCAAGUGAUACUGUCGGGCUUGAGCACGGUAGAGGCAGAUGGAAUUCCCGGUGUAGCGGUGGAAUGCGUAGAGAUCGGGAAGAACAUCGGUGGCGAAGGCGGUCUGCUGGGCCGUUGCUGACGCUGAGGCGCGACAGCGUGGGGAGCAAACAGG
This 254-nucleotide ribosomal RNA is filed under the name uncultured bacterium. RNAcentral describes it as "partial 16S ribosomal RNA". It matches the Rfam family "Bacterial small subunit ribosomal RNA", at positions 524 to 776 of the family's 1533-position model. The record is from RNAcentral.